CGGACGGGUGAGUAAUGUCUGGGAAACUGCCCGAUGGAGGGGGAUAACUACUGGAAACGGUAGCUAAUACCGCAUAACGUCGCAAGACCAAAGAGGGGGACCUUAGGGCCUCUCGCCAUCGGAUGUGCCCAGAUGGGAUUAGCUAGUAGGUGGGGUAACGGCUCACCUAGGCGACGAUCCCUAGCUGGUCUGAGAGGAUGACCAGCCACACUGGAACUGAGACACGGUCCAG
This 232-nucleotide ribosomal RNA is filed under the name uncultured bacterium. RNAcentral's name for it is "partial 16S ribosomal RNA". It matches the Rfam family "Bacterial small subunit ribosomal RNA", at positions 99 to 334 of the family's 1533-position model. The record is from RNAcentral.